CGACAAAUAAAGAAGUCAUAAAGGAAGCAAGAGAAUACUCAGGGAGACCAAAAAUGGGUGACUUUAAAAACCAUGCAGAACUGGGCAUAUGUGAUGAUAUCAAGAAUGAGGGGAGCUCAUAAGUUCAGCUACCCAAAAUAUUCAUCCAUAAAGCCUUACACCUAAUACUUUUAAUUUGAGCUGAAAAACUCAUUAUAAUGGAUCUUCACAGAAAGGGCAAGAGAGAAGAGAAGGAUAGCAAUGAAGUCACCAAAACCAAAAAGUAUGGAUGGAAAGAGAGGGAAAAAUGAAUUAUCAGAAAUAAUGAAUUUGUAAGUUAAACCUUAAAAUCUAGAGAGAAGAAAAAAACUAGUUAAUAAAUUGAAAAUUCUAUUCCA
RNAcentral lists this long non-coding RNA (377 nucleotides) under Oryctolagus cuniculus (rabbit). Its description in RNAcentral is "lncRNA (ENSOCUG00000039369.1)". The record is from RNAcentral. Lineage: Eukaryota; Metazoa; Chordata; Mammalia; Lagomorpha; Leporidae.